RNAcentral lists this ribosomal RNA (492 nucleotides) under uncultured bacterium. RNAcentral describes it as "partial 16S ribosomal RNA". It matches the Rfam family "Bacterial small subunit ribosomal RNA", at positions 30 to 507 of the family's 1533-position model. The record is from RNAcentral.
AUUGAACGCUGGCGGCAUGCUUUACACAUGCAAGUCGAACGGCAGCGCGGGCUUCGCUUUCUCUGCGAGUUGCCGACGGGUGAGUAGUGCAUCGGUACAUCCCCAUUUGUUUUUUCUUGCGCGGUGACAUCGGGAUUCUUACCCCAUUCCCCCUUACGACGUACGCGUGAGACCAGGAGAUCUUCCGCUCUUGGACGGUUCGAUGUGCCGAUGUCGGAUUAGUUAGUUGGGGGGGUAAAGGCCCACCAAGGCGACGAUGCGUAGCUGGUCUGAGAGGAUGAUCAGCCACACUGGGACUGAGACACGGCCCAGACUCCUACGGGAGGCAGCAGUGGGGAAUAUUGGACAAUGGGGGCAAGCCUGAUCCAGCCAUGCCGCGUGGGUGAAGAAGGCCUUCGGGUUGUAAAGCGCUUUUGUUGGGGAAGAAAACCAGUAGGCUAAUACCCCGGGGGGAUGACGGUACCGGAAGAAUAAGCACCGGCUAACUACGUG